AAGUUGUGUUUGUUCCACUUCACAAAAGGGGGAAAAUGUUAAAAUACCCCGCACCAAAUCUCCCGGCUUUGGUCGGAAAAGGAUCCGAGAAGCCUCAGGCUCCGGGCUCUCCAUUUAUUUUUUCCGCAACCCCACAGGCGACGCGUCCAGGAGCCCCCAACUCCCCCAACUCCGAGGGAAGUCCAGGACGGUGGGAGACCACUUUCUGUUUUUCUCUUAAAUUACCUGUUCGCUCCUUUGCCCCUGAAAGUUCUUUUUCUCAGGGGUGGUUGGGCACAUGGUUGCCUUCUUUGGGAGACAAAAACGAAAUGGUUUCCACCUAAAUGUUCACGAUAAUUCUCUUUCUUCGCGAGGGAAGUAACACAGGUCCUCUGUGAAUUCUGCGCACAGACCCACAGGAACCGUGGACUGGGACAAGGAUUCCCGGGCCAGUCCAAAGCAGUUAGGGUUGGAUGAAAGGGGGUCCAAAGGCCUUGGGGGGUGUCCUGGACCGUGGGGGGUUAGAGACUUAAAUCUUAGAUUUGAAGACACUGAAAUUCUUUAUCAACUCCGUCUUUUCGUAGAUGGGGGCGGGGCACUCUUCACUUCUCCAAAGGCGAGAAAUUGGGCAGUUUUUAAAAAAGAUCUCAGGUUCCCCUCUGGGUUGUGCAAGGCAGGGGGUCUGACCCUCAAGAAUAGAGAUAAUAAGGGAAGAAGGGAGACCCCCUAAGCCUGCAAAGAAUCCUCAAUAGACUUGGUAGCUAUAGACAUUGAGAUGAUCUCUCUCCAAAGAAAACAAGCAUUUAUUUAUUUAUUUUUAUAUGUUCCAAUAAAGACAUGAACUUCAGCACGUGAAAAUUCUAGAUUACUUCCAGUAACAACAUCUAACCCAUGUUAUGGUAUAGAAGGAAACUCUCUACCUGGGAAUUCGACGGUCUCGAUGGAAGGAAAGCAGCUAACAUUAAUGUGAUACACUUUUAUAAGGUGAACUGGAGAUUCGAAGUAGAACAAAAUGGAUGGCAAAUUUUUAAAUAGAAAUAGAGGAAAAUUCCUAGAACAUGGACCAAGGAAGUAUUACAACUUACCCGAAAUUCCCAUUCAAAUAUACAGCCACAUGAAAAUAUGUGUUAAGGAUGGCAGCCUUGGACCGGGGUCAAAAAAGGUUAUACAACUUAAGUUCAGUGAUGAAAAAAAAAAAAAAAAAAUGAGGCAUUAUUUAGACUAAGGAUAACUCCAUUGUAAGUUUCACCGAAUAACGUUUGUUCAACAUUCGGAAAUCGUGUCUACUACUGAUCAUGUCCUCUGAGAAUUAACAGCCUAAUGAGAUUAGUGAUGGAUGAAUUAGCAGCCAUAGAAAACCACUCUAGACCUGCCAUCCCUCGCUGUGAUUUUGGAUAUAGGAAUCGUAAGAAAUUAUUGAAAGUGUCUGAACAACUAAAGCACUUUUAUCACACUAAUGUAUCUUGGCAUCGAAAUAACGAAAUCAAAUAAGAACAUGCACUUUGCUCUGAUUCUAUGUACAAGGAGUACCCCCCCCCCCCAGCCAUUUGAAAUUCAGUGAAAUGUCCUGUACCCACCAGGAAAAUAGCAAUGUAGAAUCUUGAUUGCCAGGUCACUGGACCUCCCCUCACCAUCAGUCGGCGUCCUGAUUUAUACAUCAACAGCACAUAAGUUCGAUUCCUGUGAUUCAAGUCUCUAAUAUGAUCACUCAGGUUGACUCGAUCAAAACACAUCUCCCUACAGGCAAGUCUGACGUCCAGAUCUCAGGUCAUUCGGACACCAGCCACUCAGUCUUGCUCCCAACCUCCUGGCCACAGGGUAGAGACCAGAAGGCAGAGAAACAAGAUUCUUGAUCUUCUCCAGAUUCUUGUAAUGCAUGUUGAGAAAAGCUAUCCAAAAAUGAAAAAUGAGGCAAAACUGUU
Leopardus geoffroyi (Geoffroy's cat) is the source of this 1901-nucleotide long non-coding RNA. RefSeq lists it as uncharacterized. Lineage: Eukaryota; Metazoa; Chordata; Mammalia; Carnivora; Felidae. The record is from RefSeq and is a predicted model, not a curated record. The transcript is spliced from 2 exons.